CAAUAGCGUAUAUUUAAGUUGUUGCAGUUAAAAAGCUCGUAGUCGGAUUUUGGCUGAGAACGAACGGUCCGCCGUUAGGUGUGCACUGUUUGGUCUCAGCUUCCUGGUGAGGAGGUGUGCUUCACGGCCACUUAGUCACCGUGGUUACUUUGAAAAAAUUAGAGUGUUCAAAGCGGGCUUACGCUUGAAUAUAUUAGCAUGGAAUAACACCAUAGGACUCCUGUCCUAUUUCGUUGGUCUCGGGACGGGAGUAAUGAUUAAGAGGAACAGUUGGGGGCAUUCGUAUUUCAUUGUCAGAGGUGAAAUUCUUGGACUUAUGAAAGACGAACUUCUGCGAAAGCAUUUGCCAAGGAUGUUUUCAUUGA
Molecule: ribosomal RNA, 365 nt
Filed under: uncultured eukaryote
Lineage: Eukaryota
Description: partial 18S ribosomal RNA
Rfam family: Eukaryotic small subunit ribosomal RNA
Source: RNAcentral